Long non-coding RNA from Lates calcarifer (barramundi perch), 1168 nucleotides. RefSeq lists it as uncharacterized. The transcript is spliced from 3 exons. Lineage: Eukaryota; Metazoa; Chordata; Actinopteri; Centropomidae. The record is from RefSeq and is a predicted model, not a curated record.
CAGUUGCUGUAAAACUCUGUGAUGUAAACCUUUUAAAUUCUCCAAACAUGUAUUGACGUAUGAUGUAUUUUUCCUUCAGGAGCAGAGAUGCCCGAUUUCUGCAGAGCUGUUGUUGCUGUUUGAGAGUCACAGAGAGGUGAAGCGUCUACAGACUCUGACCUGCUGCCUCUGUUCUGGGUUUGAUACUAUGUAAUGAGUCUGUCCUGAUGAAGUAUACCUAACCUUUGAACUUGCUGUGGAGGGAAUUGGAGUAUCCCAAAAACUAAAGGUCAAAGUGAUAUCAUCUAGCAAUUAUGGUGUUUGUUAUGGUGUAUGUGUUUUUCUCGUGGUGGUUUUUCAAGUUCAUUUCUCCAUGACUGAUGUUGCUCCCUCAGCUACAAUAACACUAUAUGAGGGGCAAAAGAUUGAAAUCUCUCCGACAUGGAGUUUUCCAAAUUCAGCAUGGAUUCAACAGCACAUUUUUAUUGCAAACUAAUUACAAAACAGGGAGGACGAGACCCAGAGAGAGGAAGAGCAGAGGUCAGCAUUCCUGCCGGUCCUCAGAGACUCGCAGCAGAGAGAGCCCAGGCAUCAUGAAGCUGCAGAAAGCACACAGUGUCCCACUUAAAACAAGAAAUGGUCGACUCAGUGAUCAGAGCUGCCCUGUUUUAAUACAGCUUGAACACAUGAUCAUCUUCCAGCUUCUUCACCUGUGUGUCUGGUUCUCUGUCUGCAUGAAGUUGAGCAGUCAGAGCAACAGCGAGAAACAAAACAAGUCAAAGCAAGAAAUCAACACAGAUCCCUGAGGGCAUUACUGUGAUUUCACAUUCAUGAGAACGGGAUGGAUGGAUGGAUGGUCAACCAGAAAACAUAAUUCCUCCAGCUACAACUGUCACCGGUGCAGAGGCAUGACUAACUGCAGGGCAGGCAAGUAGAUCCCUAUCCAGUAUAGUACAGCAGAAUCCUUUCUUUGUUUGCUUUCAGCUGAACUCAGAGACAAGUAAAUAUGUGACCUCCAUAUGGUGUUUUGCUGGAGUCACGCUUCCCAAAUCUGUGCAGGGGAGAUGGUGAGUGCAGUGUUACUAAAAAAAGGGCCCAGGUGGGAAAACUCCAGAAUUUCCCUUUAUGUAAAUGUGUCAAGAUUACACAGAAAAUACUCAUUUAACAGGACUGACUUCAACACCUUAGC